Molecule: long non-coding RNA, 234 nt
Filed under: Vicia faba (fava bean)
Lineage: Eukaryota; Viridiplantae; Streptophyta; Magnoliopsida; Fabales; Fabaceae
Source: RNAcentral
AUGGAGAAUGGUCCAUGGUUUAUCUACGAUCACUAUCUCACACUGAAGGAUUGGAGGCCGAAUUUUCAGCCGAAAAUUGAUACCAUAGAAGAAGUAGCAGUGUGGGUUAGAAUCUUGGGGUUGUCGAUUGAAUACUAUGAUCCUAGGGCAUUAUUUGUCUUUGGUGAUCUCAUAGAUCAUACGGUGAAAGUGGACAAAACCAGGAUUAAACAUGAAAGAGGAAAAUUUGCUUGA